AUUGAACGCUGGCGGCAUGCCUUACACAUGCAAGUCGAACGGUAACGGGCCUUCGGGUGCCGACGAGUGGCGAACGGGUGAGUAAUACAUCGGAACGUGCCCGAUCGUGGGGGAUAACGAGGCGAAAGCUUUGCUAAUACCGCAUACGAUCUACGGAUGAAUGCAGGGGACCGCAAGGCCUUGCGCGGACGGAGCGGCCGAUGGCAGAUUAGGUAGUUGGUGGGAUAAAAGCUUACCAAGCCGACGAUCUGUAGCUGGUCUGAGAGGAUGAUCAGCCACACUGGGACUGAGACACGGCCCAGACUCCUACGGGAGGCAGCAGUGGGGAAUUUUGGACAAUGGGCGCAAGCCUGAUCCAGCCAUGCCGCGUGCAGGAUGAAGGCCUUCGGGUUGUAAACUGCUUUUGUACGGAACGAAAAGCCUUCUUUUAAUACAGGAGGGUCAUGACGGUACCGUAAGAAUAAGCACCGGCUAACUACGUG
Molecule: ribosomal RNA, 482 nt
Filed under: uncultured bacterium
Lineage: Bacteria
Description: partial 16S ribosomal RNA
Rfam family: Bacterial small subunit ribosomal RNA
Source: RNAcentral